RNAcentral lists this transfer-messenger RNA (371 nucleotides) under Atopobium sp. oral taxon 416. It matches the Rfam family "transfer-messenger RNA". From Rfam's summary of the family: Bacterial tmRNA, also known as 10Sa RNA or SsrA, is named for its dual tRNA and mRNA-like properties. Its role is to liberate the mRNA from a stalled ribosome. To accomplish this part of the tmRNA is used as a reading frame that ends in a translation stop signal. The record is from RNAcentral. Lineage: Bacteria; Bacillati; Actinomycetota; Coriobacteriia; Coriobacteriales; Atopobiaceae. RNAcentral also lists the same sequence under 2 other names.
GGGGGUGACUGGAUUCGACAGGGUAGACCUGAGAUGAGCAGCAGGCCGUGGUCUCCUCUCCACGUUAAUCUGGGGUAAUUCAAAUUGAAUUGACAGCAACAAUUCAUAUGAGGGCUCUUAUGCCCUCGCUGCUUAACUUAAAUAAGUAGCCGUCAAUCCACCGAUUUCCCUCGUUGGUGGUGCGGCGUCGACUCAGAGGGAUGCUGCAUGAGGCUUCUGCUCGUUUUCCUCAUGCCUAAGCUUAAACGGGCUUGGGCGUUAACCGUCGGUCGCUGAACGCGAUACGCCUCAGAUCUAAUCAGUGACUGAGCCUGAAGAUACACAUCAGGGGUCUAUUUUGGACCGGAGUUCGAUUCUCCGCACCUCCACCA